This 2220-nucleotide unclassified non-coding RNA is filed under the name Hevea brasiliensis (rubber tree). The record is from RNAcentral. Lineage: Eukaryota; Viridiplantae; Streptophyta; Magnoliopsida; Malpighiales; Euphorbiaceae.
UUAACUCACAAAUUAAACUCAAUAAUUGGCUUUUAGUCCCAAGCGCAAGAACUUCUACAGACUACAUCAUACCAUUCCCAUGAAAUGAUGCUGAGACCGAGAUACCCUAUAAGAAUUGAGAAGUGUGAACCUCACUUUUUGCCCCGUUUAUCUGACGAGGAAAUCGGUUGCUUCAUGUUGGAGAACGACGACAAAAGAACUACACGUUAUUGCAAUUAUCAGAGUUGGAAUAAUGGGUUGCCUCAUUCAUGCGCAAUUCGUUUGCGCAUCACUUGCCAGCCAAAUAUCAUAUGGGAAAGAGCAUCCUGCGUUGUUCAUAUGAUUCUUAAGCUAAUCCAACAUCUGCUUGACAGAUGAAACUUCUGGCAUCUAAAGCCCAUAUCACGUGCCCCAAUACAAUAGUAGCGCUCAAAAUAAGUAAACACAAGCAUUUGUAUGAUAAAAGGCGAACUCGCAUCUGAAAUCAGCAAAAUGCUUAAAUUCUUAAUAUAUUUGGAGAAGAAACAGAUAAAGAACAACUCGACUAGUACGGAUUGAUUCAAUGAAAAACAUCAAAUGUGAAAUCCCUAUGCUCCCUUUUACUUUGGAAACCUCCGAUUAUGGCAUCCAUUGCAGAUUCACAAAAAACACCCAUAAACUUCAAAGAUCAAUCACACGAGAUAGCUUCUGAAUGCGGUUUAAUAAGAAGUCUCCCUGCUUGAUAGUGGCUUGGUAAAGAGCAUUCUUUGCAUCAGGCCGGUUAGUUUCAAGAACACCUGCAACCUUAUCAAUCUUGCAAUGAAGCUUCCCCGCCGCAAUAAAAUGUGAUAAUUCCAGAUCAAUGAACUCCACUGUCACACCAAAUGCCUUUGCCAUUGCUUCAAUGGUAACACUCUUGUAGGAUUCUAAAAACUGAGAAUAGACAACAGUUCUGACCUCCCUCAUGUAAUAUCGGAAGUGUGGAUGCAGAUAGCGGUCAAGUUUAAUUUGCUCCGUGAGGCCAGCAAAUGCUGAGAAAAAUGAUUUGUAUUGACAAUCAUAUAGAGAAUUUAAAAACUCAGAAAGGUACAGGAUUUUCCCAAUCACUGUCAAGAUCUCAGGAGCAUCCACUACCUUUUGCUUCAGGGAAACUCUAUCCAAUGAUAUUAUGCUUGUAAGAACAGUAUAAAAUAUGAAGGUGUCAUAAGGGAAAAGUUCAUAGGUAGUGAAGGUUGAAAUGGAAUCCAAAAACAAUUUUGCUGCCUUCUUGAAAUUCCGAGUGGACAUGCAAUACAAGCCUUCAUACACCUUCAACCGGUUCUUCCUUUCCCAAUCACCUCCCUCUUCAAACAAGUUUUUUGCUUUGUCAAUGCUCUUGGAAAUGAGAUCAAAAUCCAUGUAGAAAAAGCCAAGCUGUAAAGUAUAGAAUACCAAGUCCAUUUUUUGCCCAACUGCAACUGUUUUGCUUUCUGUCACCUUUAGUUGCUCCAAAGCUUUCUCCUUGUCACCAGUUCGAAUGUAGAACAAAGAUUUGGCCAAAUGAGCUUCUCGAACUUCACUUUCACCCAAGUUUUCUUCAGCAUCAGCAAUCCUAACGAAGACAACCAGAUAAACAAAAGUUACUCAUGAAGAAAACUGGUAACCCACUUAACAUUUCAAAACUACAAAUUAUUCAAUAAUAGUUGUUCAAUCAGACCAAAAAUAAAACCAUUAAAUGAUUAUCCCUUGAAAUAAUCUAAUUCAAACAUCCUCAUCAUUCUAUCAUAACAUUCACCAUCAGUGCUUCAGCAAUUAUUUAUAAUAAUAUGUUAUCCUUAAAAUAUAGUAGGUAAAUUAAUUUAAAUCCACAAAGAUAUCCCAGUGAACAAACAAGAUUAAAACCUUACCGGUAAAAAAACAAAAGUUUGUAAUGAGAUUAUUGCGCUCAUAUGCCUAUCUUAACAUCAUAAGAGGAAAACAAAAGGUAAGUAAUAAAAGAUAAAAAGAAAAAGGCUAGGUUGAAUCCGAUCAAUCAUUGUAGUGAUGCAUCAAAUAAGCUCAUCUCCCUCAAACACUAAUUAGCUCUACUAUAAAUUUCAGUUGACUCCAAAUUUCCAAAUCAACGAUGGUUCCAAUUAUGGUUAACUUUCUCGUAACAAACUUAUCCACAGUAUCAUAUUAAGGGUUUUCUUGUCAAAUGCAUUAUUUUUAUGUAAUGAAAACAUUCACAUACAUAAAAGUAAUCAUUCAUCUCACCAAAAACAACAGAAGGUGACAAAUCAC